RNAcentral lists this ribosomal RNA (449 nucleotides) under uncultured bacterium. RNAcentral describes it as "SSU rRNA". It matches the Rfam family "Bacterial small subunit ribosomal RNA", at positions 26 to 518 of the family's 1533-position model. The record is from RNAcentral.
AGAACGAACGCUGGCGGCAGGCUUAACACAUGCAAGUCGAACGCGUGUAGCAAUACACGAGUGGCGCACGGGUGAGUAACGCGUGGAUAUCUGCCUUUUGGUUCGGAAUAACCCCGGGAAACUGGGGCUAAUACCGGAUGGUUCCUACGGGAUAAAGAUUUAUCGCCAAAAGAUGAGUCCGCGUACGAUUAGCUAGUUGGUGAGGUAAUGGCUCACCAAGGCGACGAUCGUUAGCUGGUCUGAGAGGACGAGUCAGCCACACUGGGACUGAGACACGGCCCAGACUCCUACGGGAGGCAGCAGUGGGGAAUAUUGGACAAUGGGGGCAACCCUGAUCCAGCAAUGCCGCGUGAGUGAUGAAGGCCUUAGGGUUGUAAAGCUCUUUCGCCCGCGACGAUGAUGACGGUAGCGGGAGAAGAAGCCCCGGCUAACUUCGUGCCAGCAGCCGC